GCGAUCCUCCUACUUCAGCCUCCUGAGCAGCUAAGGACUACAGCACAUUAUGUUCCUGAAAACCAGGAACUGCUUCCUGUCUGACCCACUGCAGUGGUGGAGAGGAUCAAGGGAAAUAAUGAUCAUGGAUGUGCUUAGGAGACGUAAGAUUUUACUAAGAAUUGCUGUGAGCUGGGCACCCUUCUACGCUCUGCAGACACCAUGGCUAGUAAGACAGGCAAAGACCUGCCAUCUGGAGCUUGUUUGGAUAUAGGGUAGGGGGACGGGGAGAAGGGAGAUAAACAAUAAACAAGUAAAUUUACA
RNAcentral lists this long non-coding RNA (303 nucleotides) under Homo sapiens (human). RNAcentral's name for it is "HSALNT0389486". The record is from RNAcentral. Lineage: Eukaryota; Metazoa; Chordata; Mammalia; Primates; Hominidae.